Myotis brandtii (Brandt's bat) is the source of this 1569-nucleotide long non-coding RNA. RefSeq lists it as uncharacterized. The record is from RefSeq and is a predicted model, not a curated record. The transcript is spliced from 2 exons. Lineage: Eukaryota; Metazoa; Chordata; Mammalia; Chiroptera; Vespertilionidae.
UUCAAAUCAAGUAAAGUAAUGUGACAUAAAGUAAUCGUGGCAUAUGCCUCAAAUACAAAUUAACUCUGAAAUAAAGAACUUUUAAAACCACAGAAAGACAGUGCUUCUUGAGUCAUUUGAAAACUUACUUUUUAAGGAAUUGUAAUUACCUGAAGUAACUUGGGUCUAGACUAAAGAGAUAUGGAAAUGUGGACACUGGUGAUAGUUUCUUGAUACCUGCAUUUUAUGGGCUAUUCCUUCUCACCCCAUUUUUGGUAGCAGUUUCCUCAUCUGUAAAAUGGGGACAAUAGCUUUCUGAGGUUGUUUAGUGAAUGAAGUCAAAGAAAGUACAUUUACUAUUUACUAGUCAGUGCAAUGUCUAAUGAUAGUUCUUCCAUAUUGCGGCACAUUUUAAUGGAAAUACCUAUUAUUUUCCAAGCCUCGGGAAUUCAAAAGAUGAAAUGAGACCUAUGUCCCUCAAGUAAUUCACCAGUCUAUUGUAUCCUGUAAGUAGGAUGUGAUUCAUUAGUGCUGUAACAGCUGAACUCACCUACUAGUGAACUAGGAGACACGAAGAAGAGUCCAGACUGACACACUGUCAUAAAAGUAGCACACAUGAUGGUAAGAAAAGAUAUGCAAACCUUUGAUCAAUGUGCUUGGAGGCCAAGGGAGUGAGUGAGUAGGGGAUGGGGAGUGACUCCACUGGAGUGUAGAAGCUUGUGGUUUGGAGGAGAGUGAGAAGAGCCCAGGAAAUGUGUGGCUGUUUUUCAGGCUUGCGAUGGUUGGGCGCCUGAGUUACGCAGUGGAGACGGACCAGAAAUAUGCGGUAGACUGCUGGACAGGCUGGCGGAAUGUGUGCACGUUUAUGCCAGCUGCUCAUUGCAUCCAACUACGCUCACAUUAUGCCAGUACAUUCCAGUCAUGGCCAAUGACAGUGAUGGACAUUUCCUAGUUCGUUGGGGGAAAACCCCAGGUUGUUGAAUAUAAUUUUCUUGUUUUUUUUUUUAACUUACACUAUUUUUUUCUUAAACUUUGGUACCUUCUAUGUGUUCAGUUUGGAAUCUAAUAUGAAAUGUCUGAUUUAUCAUAUCAUUAUGCUAAAUACAUGACUUUUUCUUAACCUGUAAGGAUAACGUGACUCGGAAGCAUUCUGCCUGGGAAGAGUCAAGGAGUGUCUGAAUUUAAGCAGGCAAAAAGUGAAUUCAUCUAUCUUAAUAAAAGGCAAAAGGAGAUUCACCACUAAAACAUGGUGAAAAUCCCUGAUCUAGUUUGGACUCCUGAGUAGAGGAAGGAAGUACCAAAAGGAGCGAAGUGAAUUCCUUCAUGUCAUAGAGACAUAGCCAGCAAACUUGAAAAUUUAAUCCCCUGCCUACACAGAGGUGAGCAUGCUUGGCCCACAGCCUGUCGUUGGUGUAUAAAGUUUUAUUGGAGCACAGCCAGCCUUAGGCCUUACGUAUUGUUGGUGGCUGCUUUCACAUGACAGACUCUGAAUUGAGUUGACAGAGACAGCCUGGCCUGAAAAGCCUAAAACAGUUGCCGUCUAACAGGCUUUUUUCCAGAAAAAGUUCGUUCUUUCCUUAGACUUGAGUC